Molecule: unclassified non-coding RNA, 391 nt
Filed under: soil metagenome
Description: partial contains 5.8S ribosomal RNA, internal transcribed spacer 2, and large subunit ribosomal RNA
Rfam family: 5.8S ribosomal RNA (bases 1-122)
Source: RNAcentral
GAUGAAGAACGUAGCGAAAUGCGAUACUUGGUGUGAAUUGCAGAAUCCCGUGAACCAUCGAGUCUUUGAACGCAAGUUGCGCCCGAAGCCAUUAGGCCGAGGGCACGCCUGCCUGGGCGUCACACGUCGUUGCCCCCCCAUCUACUCCUUCGGGAUUGCGGGGGGCAGAUGAUGGCCUCUCGUGCGCCUCGUCGCGCGGUUGGCCUAAAUGCCAAGUCCUCGGCGACGCACGCCACGACAAUCGGUGGUUGCGAAACCUCGGUUGCCUGUCGUGUGCGGUCGUCGCGCAUCGAGGGCUCGAAAAAAUUGCCGGGCUUCGGCUCGACUUUCAACGCGACCCCAGGUCAGGCGGGGUUACCCGCUGAAUUUAAGCAUAUCAAUAAGCGGAGGA